CAAGGAGCCGAAAGGCUGCUCGAAACCAUCGCGAACCCAUCCAAGUUGCUUCGGCUGCCUGGCCCUCCCUUCGGGGGGGGCGAGCCGCCGGAGGUACCAGAACCCUCCUGUAUUAUAGCGGCAUCUCUGAGUAAAACAAGCAAAUAAGCCA
Molecule: unclassified non-coding RNA, 151 nt
Filed under: uncultured Ascomycota
Lineage: Eukaryota; Fungi; Ascomycota
Description: sequence contains ITS1
Source: RNAcentral